UUCCUGCGCACCGUCAUGGAGCUGCGUCCAACGGAGGACAACCUAGAGGAGGAAGGUGAUGAUUCGGCUCCACAACUGUUGAGCACUUGUGAGGAGGAGACGACAGCGGCCCAGCGGGAGACUCUUCCUGGACCCAGACCAGCACCUUCCGAGCC
Molecule: long non-coding RNA, 155 nt
Organism: Bufo bufo (common toad)
Lineage: Eukaryota; Metazoa; Chordata; Amphibia; Anura; Bufonidae
Exons: 3
Source: RefSeq, a predicted model, not a curated record